GACGAACGCUGGCGGCGUGCCUAAUACAUGCAAGUAGAACGCACAGUUUAUACCGUAGCUUGCUACACCAUAGACUGUGAGUUGCGAACGGGUGAGUAACGCGUAGGUAACCUGCCUGGUAGCGGGGGAUAACUAUUGGAAACGAUAGCUAAUACCGCAUAAUAUUAAUUAUUGCAUGAUAAUUAAUUGAAAGGUGCAAUUGCACCACUACCAGAUGGACCUGCGUUGUAUUAGCUAGUAGGUGAGGUAACGGCUCACCUAGGCGACGAUACAUAGCCGACCUGAGAGGGUGAUAGGCCACACUGGAACUGAGACACGGCCAAGACUACUACGAGAGGCAGCAGUAGGGAAUCGUCGGCAAUGGACGAAAGUCUGACCGAACAACGCCGAGUGAGAGAAGAAGGUUGUCGGAUCGUAAAGCUCUGUUGUAAGAGAAGAACGGGUGUGAGAGUGGAAAGUUCACACUGUGACGGUAUCUGACCAGAAAGGGACGGCUAACUACGUG
RNAcentral lists this ribosomal RNA (505 nucleotides) under uncultured bacterium. Its description in RNAcentral is "partial 16S ribosomal RNA". It matches the Rfam family "Bacterial small subunit ribosomal RNA", at positions 28 to 507 of the family's 1533-position model. The record is from RNAcentral.